CAGAGCCUGAAGAGCACAGAAGAAUUUCUGAAUUCCAUUCAAAUCAUAAACCUUCAGAUACACAAUAUAAUGUAAUAUUUUUAUAUUAUCAAACAAAUAGGUUUAAAAAAGAACGUUAAUAAACUGCAUAUUUAUAUAUCUGAAUAUGUACAUGCAUCUGAAAACUAAUGACAGUCAGUAAGGUGGAACCUUUAAGACUGAAAAUCACAGUACAAUUUAUCUGAUAUUCACAACAGAACAAUAAGCAAUUUUGAAUGAUCACAGAUUUUAGAUGUUCUUGCAAUAGAAUCCUAUAUGGUUGCUAUGGUGUUGCUUAAUGGUUAUUAGGAGUAAAUAUGGUGUUUGUUUAUUAUUUCUGUGUUCCAAGGUGGUUGAUAUGGUGUUGCUAGGUGGAUGUUGUUUCUCAGGUGGUUGAUAUGGUGUUGCUAGGUGGAUGCUGUUGUUUCUCAGGUGGUUGAUAUGGUGUUGCUAGGUGGAUGUUGUUUCUCAGGUGGUUGAUAUGUUGUUACUAGGUGGAUGCUGUUGUUUCUCAGGUGGUUGAUAUGGUGUUGCUAGGUGGAUGCUGUUGUUUCUCAGGUGGUUGAUAUGGUGUUGCUAGGUGGAUGCUGUUGUUUCUCAGGUGGUUGAUAUGUUGUUACUAGGUGGAUGCUGUUGUUUCUCAGGUAGAUGAUAUGGUGUUGCUAGGUGGAUGCUGUUGUUUCUCAGGUAGAUGGUAUGGUGUUGCUAGGUGGAUGUUGUAUCUCAGGUGGUUGAUAUGGUGUUGCUAGGUGGAUGCUGUUGUUUCUCAGGUGGUUGAUAUGGUGUUGCUAGGUGGAUGCUGUUGUUUCUCAGGUGGUUGAUAUGGUGUUGCUAGGUGGAUGCUGUUGUUUCUCAGGUGGUUGAUAUGUUGUUACUAGGUGGAUGCUGUUGUUUCUCAGGUAGAUGAUAUGGUGUUGCUAGGUGGAUGCUGUUUUUUUCUCAAGUGGUUGAUAUGGUGUUGCUAGGUGGAUGCUGUUGUUUCUCAGGUGGUUGAUACGGUGUUGCUAGGUGGAUACUGUUGUUCCUCAGGUGGUUGAUAUGGUGUUGCUAGGUGUGGAUGCUGAUGUUCCUUAGGUGGUUGAUAUGGUGUUGCUAGGUGGAUGCUGUUGUUUCUCAGGUGCUUGAUAUGGUGUUGCUAGGUGGAUGCUGUUUUUUCUCAGGUGGUUGACAUGGUGUUGCUAGGUGGAUGCUGUUGUGUCUCAGGUGCUUGAUAUGGUGUUGCUAGGUGGAUGCUGUUGUUUCUCAGGUGGUUGAUACGGUGUUGCUAGGUGGAUACUGUUGUUCCUCAGGUGGUUGAUAUGGUGUUGCUAGGUGUGGAUGCUGAUGUUCCUUAGGUGGUUGAUAUGGUGUUGCUAGGUGGAUGCUCUUGUUUCUCAGGUGGUUGAUAUGGUGUUGCUAAGUGGAUGCUGUUGUUUCUCAGGUGCUUGAUAUGGUGUUGCUAGGUGGAUGCUGUUUUUUCUCAGGUGGUUGACAUGGUGUUGCUAGGUGGAUGCUGUUGUGUCUCAGGUCGUUAAUAUGGCAUUGCUAGUAGAAUGUUGUUGCUUCUCAGGUGGUUGAUAUGUUGUUGCUAGGUGGAUGCUCUUGUUUCUCAGGUGGUUGAUAUGGAGUUGCUAAGUGGAUGCUGUUUUUUCUCAAGUGGUUGAUAUGGUGUUGCUAGGUGGAUGCUGUUGUUUCUCAGGUGGUUGAUAUGGUGUUGCUAGGUGUGGAUGCUGAUGUUCCUUAGGUAGAUGAUGUGGUGUUGCUAGGUGGAUGCUGUUGUAUCUCAGGUGGCUGAUAUAGUGUUGCUAGGUGGAUGCUGUUGUUUCUCAGGUGGUUAAUAUGGCGUUGCUAGUUGGAUGUUGUUGCUUCUCAGGUGGUUGAUAUGGUAUAUGCUGUUGUUUCUCAGAUGUUUGAUAUGGUGUUGCUAGGUGGAUGCUGUUGUUUCUCAGGUGGUUGAUAUGGUGUUGCUAGGUGGAUGCGGUUGUUUCUCAGGUGGCUGAUAUGGUGUUGCUCAGUGCUUACUAUGGUAUUGCAUGUGAUUGGUAUGAUCACCUAGCACCUACCAUAAUUCUUGUCUGUGCAUUUUACUUUACUGGAAAAUGAUAAAGUCAACACAGCAGCACCACCUUAUAUAAUCAGACAGGUACAGCAAAAAGCCCUGCCUUGCUUAGGUUGCAUUCAUGGCCCAACGUAGAACAUUAGCCUCCAAGAUUCAUUCCUGACAGUGGAUUCCUUCUAGAUGAAGUUAUGAUGAUGAACAUACCGUACUUACAGGUUUAAAGAUAAUAAAGCAGACUUAAUUGCGUGAUUGAGAAUGUCAGUGCAGAACAUGACCAGACUGUUAGCAUAGACAUCCCAUACAUAAUUAUGCAGAGAGGGAUAUUACAGUAAAUCUACAGAGCAUAAACCCCUCAUUAAAACAAAAAUGCACAUUUAAGAGUUCAGCACUGCAAUCUGAAUUAUUAUAAGACUAAUUUAAUAAAAUACCAAGCAACACACUGAAUAAUUUACCUGGUUUAAGCUGUGUAUUUUGUAGAGGGGUCCACUUCUCAUUUAGAGAAACAUAUUUUAAACUGUAAUGAACACCACAGUCCCCAGGGGUCUGAUUUGGACAACUUUGUAGUUCUAUAAUUACAGACUUUAUUCCUGUAUCUGUUUCUCUGAAUUCCUCUUUUCACCCUGUUCUACAAUGAUUAUUAUUUUGGUGAUGAAUCAUUAUGCUCGGCUUUAUUCUUAGCAUGGUGGUGGUAUAUGAGGUGUUAGUGUGUGUUGUGCUGCUGGUACAAGUGGAUCAGAUACAGCAGAGCUGCUGGAGUUUUUAAACACUGUGUUUAAUCACUCACUGACACUCCUACCUAUAGCGCCUAUUUGGAAACACAUCAACUAGUCAUACAACAA
Molecule: long non-coding RNA, 2895 nt
Organism: Astyanax mexicanus (Mexican tetra)
Lineage: Eukaryota; Metazoa; Chordata; Actinopteri; Characiformes; Acestrorhamphidae
Exons: 3
Source: RefSeq, a predicted model, not a curated record